GAGGAAUAUUGGUCAAUGGGCGAGAGCCUGAACCAGCCAUGCCGCGUGCAGGAAGACGGUCCUAUGGAUUGUAAACUGCUUUUAUUUGGGAAUAAACUCCGGUACGUGUACCGGCCUGAAGGUACCAAAUGAAUAAGCACCGGCUAACUCCGUGCCAGCAGCCGCGGUAAUACGGAGGGUGCAAGCGUUAUCCGGAAUCAUUGGGUUUAAAGGGUCCGCAGGCGGUCUUAUAAGUCAGUGGUGAAAGCCUACAGCUCAACUGUAGAACUGCCAUUGAUACUGUAAGACUUGAAUUCGAUCGAAGUGGGCGGAAUAUGACAUGUAGCGGUGAAAUGCUUAGAUAUGUCAUAGAACACCGAUAGCGAAGGCAGCUCACUAGGUCUGGAUUGACGCUCAGGGACGAAAGCGUGGGGAGCAAAC
Molecule: ribosomal RNA, 420 nt
Filed under: uncultured bacterium
Lineage: Bacteria
Description: bacterial SSU rRNA
Rfam family: Bacterial small subunit ribosomal RNA
Source: RNAcentral